RNAcentral lists this ribosomal RNA (497 nucleotides) under uncultured bacterium. RNAcentral describes it as "partial 16S ribosomal RNA". It matches the Rfam family "Bacterial small subunit ribosomal RNA", at positions 28 to 507 of the family's 1533-position model. The record is from RNAcentral.
GAUGAACGCUGGCGGCGUGCCUAACACAUGCAAGUCGAACGAAAAGACCCUGAGCUUGUUCCUUGCUCGUUGGCGGCAGGCGGGAGUGUCACGCGUAUAUCACCUCCUUAUCUUUCGGGGAACAUCACGUAACACCGGCUAUUAUACUAGAGAAUAUCUCGCACCGUAGUGUUCGAUGGAGAAUGACGGCUUUUCUGUCUGUACUAGCUGGUCCUGCGCUGGAUUAGCUGGUUGGUAGGGUAACGGCCUACCAAGGCUACGAUGCGUAGCCGAACUGAGGGGGUGAUCGGCCACACUGGAACUGAGACACGGUCCAGACUCCUACGGGAGGCAGCAGUAGGGAAUCUUCGGCAAUGGGCGGAAGCCUGACGCAGCCACGCCGCGUGAGUGAUGAAGGCCUUCGGAUCGUAAAGCCCUGUUAUUGGGGAAGAACAGCCGUGGAAGUAAACGUAGACGUAGUGACGGUACCUAAUCAAAAAGCAACGGCUAACUACGUG